Molecule: long non-coding RNA, 216 nt
Filed under: Sorghum bicolor (sorghum)
Lineage: Eukaryota; Viridiplantae; Streptophyta; Magnoliopsida; Poales; Poaceae
Description: long non-coding RNA (SBIC_LNC015148)
Source: RNAcentral
GUGGUCAUCACCAUGAUCAUCUCUUGCUCCAUCACUUGGCAUGUACCAACUUCAUCUAGUCUACACACACUUAGCAUAGAGGUUAGUACUAGGGUUUAAUCAAUUAUCCAAAACCAAACUUGGGCUUUUAGGGCGGGAGUGAGAGAUCGGGAGAAGAAACCCUAGCUCUCCGUUUAUAUAUGAUGAGUGAUACUGACAAGGGCAGCCUAUUGGGCC